This 497-nucleotide ribosomal RNA is filed under the name uncultured bacterium. RNAcentral's name for it is "partial 16S ribosomal RNA". It matches the Rfam family "Bacterial small subunit ribosomal RNA", at positions 28 to 507 of the family's 1533-position model. The record is from RNAcentral.
GACGAACGCUGGCGGCGUGCCUAAUACAUGCAAGUUGAGUGCUGAAGGUUGGUACUUGUUCCAACUGGAUGAGCAGCGAACGGGUGAGUAACGCGUGGGGAAUCUGCCUUUGAGCGGGGGACAACAUUUGGAAACGAAUGCUAAUACCGCAUAAAAACUUUAAACACAAGUUUUGAGUUUGAAAGAUGCAAUUGCAUCACUCAAAGAUGAUCCCGCGUUGUAUUAGCUAGUUGGUGAGGUAAAGGCUCACCAAGGCGAUGAUACAUAGCCGACCUGAGAGGGUGAUCGGCCACAUUGGGACUGAGACACGGCCCAAACUCCUACGGGAGGCAGCAGUAGGGAAUCUUCGGCAAUGGACGAAAGUCUGACCGAGCAACGCCGCGUGAGUGAAGAAGGUUUUCGGAUCGUAAAACUCUGUUGGUAGAGAAGAACGUUGGUGAGAGUGGAAAGCUCAUCAAGUGACGGUAACUACCCAGAAAGGGACGGCUAACUACGUG